Molecule: ribosomal RNA, 910 nt
Filed under: Salmonella enterica
Lineage: Bacteria; Pseudomonadati; Pseudomonadota; Gammaproteobacteria; Enterobacterales; Enterobacteriaceae
Description: partial 23S ribosomal RNA
Rfam family: Bacterial large subunit ribosomal RNA
Source: RNAcentral
AAUCCAUAGGUUAAUGAGGCGAACCGGGGGAACUGAAACAUCUAAGUACCCCGAGGAAAAGAAAUCAACCGAGAUUCCCCCAGUAGCGGCGAGCGAACGGGGAGGAGCCCAGAGCCUGAAUCAGCAUGUGUGUUAGUGGAAGCGUCUGGAAAGGCGCGCGAUACAGGGUGACAGCCCCGUACACAAAAGCGCAUGUGCUGUGAGCUCGAUGAGUAGGGCGGGACACGUGGUAUCCUGUCUGAAUAUGGGGGGACCAUCCUCCAAGGCUAAAUACUCCUGACUGACCGAUAGUGAACCAGUACCGUGAGGGAAAGGCGAAAAGAACCCCGGCGAGGGGAGUGAAAAAGAACCUGAAACCGUGUACGUACAAGCAGUGGGAGCACAGGUUUACCUGUGUGACUGCGUACCUUUUGUAUAAUGGGUCAGCGACUUAUAUUCUGUAGCAAGGUUAACCGUAUAGGGGAGCCGGAGGGAAACCGAGUCUUAACCGGGCGUUAAGUUGCAGGGUAUAGACCCGAAACCCGGUGAUCUAGCCAUGGGCAGGUUGAAGGUUGGGUAACACUAACUGGAGGACCGAACCGACUAAUGUUGAAAAAUUAGCGGAUGACCUGUGGCUGGGGGUGAAAGGCCAAUCAAACCGGGAGAUAGCUGGUUCUCCCCGAAAGCUAUUUAGGUAGCGCCUCGUGAACUCAUCUCCGGGGGUAGAGCACUGUUUCGGCUAGGGGGCCAUCCCGGCUUACCAACCCGAUGCAAACUGCGAAUACCGGAGAAUGUUAUCACGGGAGACACACGGCGGGUGCUAACGUCCGUCGUGAAGAGGGAAACAACCCAGACCGCCAGCUAAGGUCCCAAAGUCAUGGUUAAGUGGGAAACGAUGUGGGAAGGCCCAGACAGCCAGGAUGUUGGCUUA